Molecule: long non-coding RNA, 825 nt
Filed under: Triticum aestivum (bread wheat)
Lineage: Eukaryota; Viridiplantae; Streptophyta; Magnoliopsida; Poales; Poaceae
Description: long non-coding RNA (TAES_LNC002298)
Source: RNAcentral
CAGUUGGGCGCGCCGGGUGGGCCGCACGCAAAUUAAUUACGUUAUGCAGUGUUCUACAUGCCUAAAAAUGAAACUCAAUGCUCCAUUAUCACAGAUGAUCACAGGUGUACCGUUGAUUGGCCAUCAUGUGGCGUACGUACGAACGCGGCGUGCACCGGUAGAUACAUGCAAAAGGCCGAUGCAACAACAUAGAGCAACCCAGAAAGCUAAAAGCAAAUUACUCUGAAAACCAGAUAGGUAAAACCAUACGGUGCUAAAGCAGAUACAUCGCCCGGGAUACAUAUGUGAACUACAUCGAUUCCAUCACGCUGGAUACAUAUGGGGAUGGGGCUGAGAUUCAGAGCUUCAGCAUGCAAAUAAUGGCCAUGAGCACCAGGUCGACGACGCCGAGGACCAAAAUGUUCUUCAGCCAUGCUUGAUUAUAUUCAAGCAGUGAUACAUGAUGAUAGACGGAUGCAUGGGAAAUCAGGUGUCCCCAACUAGCGCUGAAGUACUGUAUUACUUGUUCUCACACUUGCAAAAACUGCACCCGCCGAACUGCCGAAAAUAGCAAAAAAUGAUUAGCAAGGAGUGGGGAAAGUGGAUGGAGAAAGAUCUUGAAAAGCUUACUCCGUGCCUUUCGCACUUGUAGAAAUGCCUCUCUGGGUUUUCUACCGUCCGUGAGACAAACCACAUCACGAAGCCGGCGUUGCACUCCGGGUAACAGAUGAGAGGGAGAGGGAGCACCUGGUUGGCGGUGUAGUGCGACACAGAAGGCGUGGUGCUAAGCUGUGACUUGCAUGAACAUAUGGUGUUGAGCUGGGUGGGCGAACUGAGGAGUUGAAG